RNAcentral lists this ribosomal RNA (91 nucleotides) under Escherichia coli. RNAcentral also lists the same sequence under 1 other name. The record is from RNAcentral. Lineage: Bacteria; Pseudomonadati; Pseudomonadota; Gammaproteobacteria; Enterobacterales; Enterobacteriaceae.
UGGCGGCCUUAGCGCGGUGGUCCCACCUGACCCCAUGCCGAACUCAGAAGUGAAACGCCGUAGCGCCGAUGGUAGUGUGGGGUCUCCCCAU